GAUGAACGCUGGCGGCGUGCCUAAUACAUGCAAGUCGAGCGAACAGACGAGGAGCUUGCUCCUCUGACGUUAGCGGCGGACGGGUGAGUAACACGUGGAUAACCUACCUAUAAGACUGGGAUAACUUCGGGAAACCGGAGCUAAUACCGGAUAAUAUAUUGAACCGCAUGGUUCAAUAGUGAAAGACGGUUUUGCUGUCACUUAUAGAUGGAUCCGCGCCGCAUUAGCUAGUUGGUAAGGUAACGGCUUACCAAGGCAACGAUGCGUAGCCGACCUGAGAGGGUGAUCGGCCACACUGGAGCUGGGACACGGUCCAGACUCCUACGGGAGGCAGCAGUAGGGAAUCUUCCGCAAUGGGCGAAAGCCAGACGGAGCAACGCCGCGUGAGUGAUGAAGGUCUUCGGAUCGUAAAACUCUGUUAUUAGGGAAGAACAAAUGUGUAAGUAACUAUGCACGUCUUGACGGUACCUAAUCAGAAAGCCACGGCUAACUACGUG
Molecule: ribosomal RNA, 497 nt
Filed under: uncultured bacterium
Lineage: Bacteria
Description: partial 16S ribosomal RNA
Rfam family: Bacterial small subunit ribosomal RNA
Source: RNAcentral